This 324-nucleotide ribosomal RNA is filed under the name uncultured eukaryote. RNAcentral describes it as "partial 18S ribosomal RNA". It matches the Rfam family "Eukaryotic small subunit ribosomal RNA", at positions 1470 to 1796 of the family's 1831-position model. The record is from RNAcentral.
CCCUUAGAUGUCCUGGGCCGCACGCGCGCUACACUGAUGCAUUCAACGAGUCUACCUUGGCCGAGAGGCCUGGGCAACCUUUUAAACGUGCAUCGUGAUAGGGAUAGAUUAUUGCAAUUAUUAAUCUUGAACGAGGAAUUCCUAGUAAACGCAAAUCAUCAAUUUGCAUUGAUUACGUCCCUGCACUUUGUACACACCGCCCGUCGCACCUACCGAUUGAAUGGUCCGGUGAGGACUCGGGAUUUUUACCAGUUUCCUUCAUUGGGAAUUGGUGAGGAGAACUUGUCUAAACCUUAUCAUCUAGAGGAAGGUGAAGUCGUAACA